GUGCCAGCCGCCGCGGUAAUACGGAGGGCGCGAGCGUUAAUCGGAAUGACUGGGCGUAAAGCGUGCGCAGGCGGCCGCGCAAGUCGGAUGUGAAAGCCCCGGGCUUAACCCGGGAACUGCGUUCAAAACUGCGCGGCUGGAGUCCGGCAGAGGAAGGUGGAAUUCCGCGUGUAGCGGUGAAAUGCGUAGAGAUGCGGAAGAACACUAAUGGCGAAGGCAUCCUUCUGGGCCGGCACUGACGCUGAGGCACGAAAGCGUGGGUAGCAAACAGGAUUAGAUACCCUGGUAGUCCACGCCCUAAGCGAUGUCCGCUGGCUGUCGGGGGCGACCUCGGUGGCGGAGCUAACGCGUUAAGCGGACCGCCUGGGGAGUACGGCCGCAAGGUUAAAACUUAAAGAAAUUGACGG
This 407-nucleotide ribosomal RNA is filed under the name uncultured Candidatus Branchiomonas sp. Its description in RNAcentral is "bacterial SSU rRNA". It matches the Rfam family "Bacterial small subunit ribosomal RNA", at positions 505 to 916 of the family's 1533-position model. The record is from RNAcentral. Lineage: Bacteria; Pseudomonadati; Pseudomonadota; Betaproteobacteria; Burkholderiales.